GGCGAAGUGGCUUAACCUGGUUAUAGCGCCACGCUCAUAACGUGGAAGUCGGGAGUUCAAAUCUCCCCUUCGCCA
RNAcentral lists this transfer RNA (75 nucleotides) under archaeon. Its description in RNAcentral is "tRNA-Met". It matches the Rfam family "tRNA". Rfam says of the family: Transfer RNA (tRNA) molecules are approximately 80 nucleotides in length. The record is from RNAcentral.